This 253-nucleotide ribosomal RNA is filed under the name uncultured bacterium. RNAcentral's name for it is "partial 16S ribosomal RNA". It matches the Rfam family "Bacterial small subunit ribosomal RNA", at positions 524 to 776 of the family's 1533-position model. The record is from RNAcentral.
UACGAAGGGGGCUAGCGUUGUUCGGAAUUACUGGGCGUAAAGCGCACGUAGGCGGCACUGUAAGUUGGGGGUGAAAUCCCGGAGCUCAACUGCGGAACUGCCUUCGAGACUGCAGAGCUGGAGGAUGAGAGAGGUGAGUGGAAUUCCGAGUGUAGAGGUGAAAUGCGUAGAUAUUCGGAAGAACACCAGUGGCGAAGGCGGCUCACUGGCGCAUUUCUGACGCUGAGGUGCGAAAGCGUGGGGAGCAAACAGG